This 253-nucleotide ribosomal RNA is filed under the name uncultured bacterium. RNAcentral's name for it is "partial 16S ribosomal RNA". It matches the Rfam family "Bacterial small subunit ribosomal RNA", at positions 524 to 776 of the family's 1533-position model. The record is from RNAcentral.
GACAGAGGGUGCAAACGUUGUUCGGAAUUACUGGGCGUAAAGCGAGUGUAGGCGGUUUGGUAAGUCGGAUGUGAAAGCCCCGGGCUCAACCCGGGAAGUGCACUCGAUACUGCCAAGCUAGAGUAUCGGAGAGGUUGGUGGAAUUCUCGGUGUAAAGGUGAAAUUCGUAGAUAUCGAGAGGAACACCGGUGGCGAAGGCGGCCAACUGGACGAAUACUGACGCUGAGACUCGAAAGCGUGGGGAGCAAACAGG